AUUGAACGCUGGCGGCAUGCCUUACACAUGCAAGUCGAACGGCAGCGGGGGAGAAGCUUGCUUUUCCUGCCGGCGAGUGGCGAACGGGUGAGUAAUACAUCGGAACGUGCCCUGUAGUGGGGGAUAACUAGUCGAAAGAUUAGCUAAUACCGCAUACGACCUGAGGGUGAAAGUGGGGGACCGCAAGGCCUCAUGCUAUAGGAGCGGCCGAUGUCUGAUUAGCUAGUUGGUGGGGUAAAGGCCUACCAAGGCGACGAUCAGUAGCUGGUCUGAGGGGACGAUCAGCCACACUGGGACUGAGACACGGCCCAGACUCCUACGGGAGGCAGCAGUGGGGAUUAUUGGACAAUGGGGGCAACCCUGAUCCAGCAAUGCCGCGUGGGUGAAGAAGGCCUUCGGGUUGUAAAGCCCUUUUGUACGGGAAGAAAAGCUUCGGAUUAAUACUUCGAGGUCAUGACGGUACCGUAAGAAUAAGCACCGGCUAACUUCGUGCCAGCAGCCGCCGUAA
RNAcentral lists this ribosomal RNA (508 nucleotides) under uncultured bacterium. RNAcentral describes it as "partial 16S ribosomal RNA". It matches the Rfam family "Bacterial small subunit ribosomal RNA", at positions 30 to 523 of the family's 1533-position model. The record is from RNAcentral.